UUCUUGUAGUGUAAUGCAACACGUCGGUUUUUCACACUGGAGAUGGAUUAGUCCUGAGGGC
This 61-nucleotide transfer RNA is filed under the name Macridiscus semicancellata. RNAcentral describes it as "tRNA-Glu". The record is from RNAcentral. Lineage: Eukaryota; Metazoa; Mollusca; Bivalvia; Venerida; Veneridae.